This 116-nucleotide ribosomal RNA is filed under the name Escherichia coli. The record is from RNAcentral. Lineage: Bacteria; Pseudomonadati; Pseudomonadota; Gammaproteobacteria; Enterobacterales; Enterobacteriaceae.
CCUGGCGGCCGUAGCGCGGUGGUCCCACCUGACCCCAUGCCGAACUCAGAAGUGAAACGCCGUAGCGCCGAUGGUAGUGUGGGGUCUCCCCAUGCGAGAGUAGGGAACUGCCAGCC